GGGCUCAUAGCUCAGUUGGUUAGAGCAUCCGGCUCAUAACCGGAUGGUCCUAGGUUCAAGUCCUAGUGAGCCCACCACCAC
This 81-nucleotide transfer RNA is filed under the name Campylobacter gracilis. Its description in RNAcentral is "tRNA-Met". It matches the Rfam family "tRNA". Rfam says of the family: Transfer RNA (tRNA) molecules are approximately 80 nucleotides in length. Their secondary structure includes four short double-helical elements and three loops (D, anti-codon, and T loops). The record is from RNAcentral. Lineage: Bacteria; Pseudomonadati; Campylobacterota; Epsilonproteobacteria; Campylobacterales; Campylobacteraceae.